GACGAACGCUGGCGGCGUGCCUAAUACAUGCAAGUAGAACGCUGAAGGAGGAGCUUGCUUCUCUGGAUGAGUUGCGAACGGGUGAGUAACGCGUAGGUAACCUGCCUGGUAGCGGGGGAUAACUAUUGGAAACGAUAGCUAAUACCGCAUAAGAGUAGAUGUCGCAUGACAUUUGCUUAAAAGGUGCAAUUGCAUCACUACCAGAUGGACCUGCGUUGUAUUAGCUAGUUGGUGAGGUAACGGCUCACCAAGGCAACGAUACAUAGCCGACCUGAGAGGGUGAUCGGCCACACUGGGACUGAGACACGGCCCAGACUCCUACGGGAGGCAGCAGUAGGGAAUCUUCGGCAAUGGAUGGAAGUCUGACCGAGCAACGCCGCGUGAGUGAAGAAGGUUUUCGGAUCGUAAAGCUCUGUUGUAAGAGAAGAACGAGUGUGAGAGUGGAAAGUUCACACUGUGACGGUAUCUUACCAGAAAGGGACGGCUAACUACGUG
Molecule: ribosomal RNA, 495 nt
Filed under: uncultured bacterium
Lineage: Bacteria
Description: partial 16S ribosomal RNA
Rfam family: Bacterial small subunit ribosomal RNA
Source: RNAcentral